This 1007-nucleotide unclassified non-coding RNA is filed under the name Hevea brasiliensis (rubber tree). Lineage: Eukaryota; Viridiplantae; Streptophyta; Magnoliopsida; Malpighiales; Euphorbiaceae. The record is from RNAcentral.
UCGUUGCAAUAUUUCAUACUGCGGUAACACUUGUUCUGCUGAGUAUUUGUACCUUUGUGAAUUUACAAUAUUUUUGUUAGGUUUAUUAUAGUCUUCAGAUCAUAUACGUGCCUCUUCUCCAUAUAGUAUAUUGAUUUAUUCAGUUUAGUUUCAGUAUUUCUUUAAGGAUUAUUUAGUUAAAUGAAUAGUUGUGUGAUUAGCAUGUGGAAUGGAUUGUAAAGUUAGAUGGGAGGGUGUAGAUUAAAAAGGUUUAAUAAGGGCAUGGAUUUAAUAUGUGAUGUGAUGUAACCAAAGCAUAAAUAGUCUUGUAAGACUAUUUUGUAUGCAGUUCUUAUUCUUUGCAGUUUUCUCCAAACGCAAUAUAUAUUAUUCCAGCCUAGAUCUAGACUAUUGUAGCCUAAUUUGCAUCAGGAUCAAAUAAUAGUACUUGAUAGUGUGUUUAUUUUCUGUUUUCCUGUAGAGAAGUGGUGAACAUAAAAUGCAUUACUGUCAGUGUGGGCACUGGGGUUAGGAAUUGCAAGACUGCUAAAACUCUUUAGAUAGCAGCUCCUUCCUUUUCAAACAUGAUAUCCGUUUUUUAUCCCGUUGAAAUAUGAUAACUUUAGACCUUUCACUAAAUUAUGUUAUUUGUGUUAUGGCCCUAGCAGUUUUUACACUAGAAUGGAACAUUUAAAACUUUUGUUUCCCCUAAACCAGUAGCUACAAAAUUUUCAAGUGUUUGUCUUAAAAGCUAUUAUGUUAGAUAUUUGUGUAUAUGAGAAGCACAAUCCUUGUCCAAAUAAAUAUUCAAUUUUUAUGCUCUUUAGCUAUUUUACCGGAAUUUCAUGUGAAAAGCUAUUAAGUGUCCACAGUUGAUGGACAUUUUUGAAUAAGCCAUAAAAAAUAAUGAGUUCUAGUUGCACUUUCUUUAGAUCUUUUUCGACUCAGUAUUUCUCGGAGUAUUUAUUGUAUUCUAUGUCCUGAAACUUAAAUUGGCUUUUGUAGGGUGAUGAUGGUGGCAAUAGUGA